RNAcentral lists this ribosomal RNA (429 nucleotides) under Bacillota bacterium. RNAcentral's name for it is "Firmicutes bacterium partial 16S ribosomal RNA". It matches the Rfam family "Bacterial small subunit ribosomal RNA", at positions 355 to 776 of the family's 1533-position model. The record is from RNAcentral. Lineage: Bacteria; Bacillati; Bacillota.
UAGGGAAUCUUCGGCAAUGGACGGAAGUCUGACCGAGCAACGCCGCGUGAGUGAAGAAGGUUUUCGGAUCGUAAAGCUCUGUUGUUAGAGAAGAACGUUGGUAGGAGUGGAAAAUCUACCAAGUGACGGUAACUAACCAGAAAGGGACGGCUAACUACGUGCCAGCAGCCGCGGUAAUACGUAGGUCCCGAGCGUUGUCCGGAUUUAUUGGGCGUAAAGCGAGCGCAGGCGGUUCUUUAAGUCUGAAGUUAAAGGCAGUGGCUUAACCAUUGUACGCUUUGGAAACUGGAGGACUUGAGUGCAGAAGGGGAGAGUGGAAUUCCAUGUGUAGCGGUGAAAUGCGUAGAUAUAUGGAGGAACACCGGUGGCGAAAGCGGCUCUCUGGUCGGUAACUGACGAUGAGGCUCGAAAGCGUGGGGAGCGAACAGG